Molecule: unclassified non-coding RNA, 489 nt
Filed under: Hevea brasiliensis (rubber tree)
Lineage: Eukaryota; Viridiplantae; Streptophyta; Magnoliopsida; Malpighiales; Euphorbiaceae
Source: RNAcentral
GCCAAAUGAACUUCAAGGGGUAGUCACCGAUGUUAAGGGAAAUAUUAGCAGUCUUCUCGCCCGAAAUCAGUUCGCCAUUUGUAUCAGUCGAACGAUUCGAGAUCAAUGAGAUCGAGGUCCUCGAUCCAGGUCGGUAAAUUAGUCCGGUUCUCUCACGGACAUCAAAUAUGGUUAUCAUGAGUUUUCGAUCACCGGGGUCGUAAAUUUUCAGUCGGGGAGCUAAGAGAAUAGUCAGAAAAAGAUCAAAAGCAGUCACCAUGGCCAGAAUGUUACUGGAGAAAUUAGAAUGGAAGAAGAGAGAAAUGGAAGGAGGAAUGAAUGAAAUGUGGGAGAAAUACCCCGAUUGAGGCAUAUAUAUAUAUAGGGGGCGUCUGAGCAUUUAUUACUAGCAGAAAUCAAAGCGGAUGCCUCGGUAACCGAAGGAAUAAAUGAUUUGAUUGAAGCCGCGAGGACAGAGAGGAAGAUUCUGGAAUGGGAGAGAUCAGGAGA